GAGGAGUCAGGUUACCCUCAACCUGCUGAGCAGAAGAAACCUUCAUGGUUAAGUUGGCUCAUCCAGGUGCCUUUCCUGAGCAGGCCCCUCAGAUCUUGGAGCCGGGGACUGGACAAAAGAAUUGUGGAAGGAACCACAACUGCCUCAUCUCCUGCAGUCCAGUUCAUCUUACGAUGGUUGCUGGGGAUUCGGUGGUCAUCCAGGAACUGAAGACAGUGUUGUUCCAACUGCCCUUUCCAACAGUCAUGCCAACAGUCGAGUAGUGGGUGGAGCCAGAGUGUCAUGCAGAGCUAUAGAAUCUACCCAGAAUGGCUACUGUGCAGGAGCAGAUCCCAGUUGUGUGAAUA
Molecule: long non-coding RNA, 347 nt
Organism: Hemicordylus capensis (graceful crag lizard)
Lineage: Eukaryota; Metazoa; Chordata; Lepidosauria; Squamata; Cordylidae
Exons: 3
Source: RefSeq, a predicted model, not a curated record